Carassius auratus (goldfish) is the source of this 1829-nucleotide long non-coding RNA. RefSeq lists it as uncharacterized. The record is from RefSeq and is a predicted model, not a curated record. The transcript has 4 exons. NCBI's taxonomy places the organism in Eukaryota, Metazoa, Chordata, Actinopteri, Cypriniformes, Cyprinidae.
UCAAAACAUAAAUAAAUUAAAUAACAAAAGGACAUACAAAAUCUUCUAAACAGACAGAAUAUCCAACUAAAAUGUUACAAUUAUUUCUGAAAACACUUCUAAGCAAUAGGGAAUAUUAAUAAAUAAUAUGAAAUAAUAGGAAUAAAUAAUUUUUGUUUGCUUGUAUAUAUUUUUGUUUGCUUGUAUAUAUACAAGCAAACAGGCAUCCAGUGGCUACACCAUGUUUCUUAUUAUUAUUUAUUAAUUUCCUCCAGACUUAAACUUAAAUACUGCAAUAACUAAAAAUAGUUUUAUUGAAAUAGGCUUAAUGUUAAAUCAUUUGAAGGAGGAUAGUUUACCUUGAAACUUUAAAGCAAACAUUAAAAAUAUUAUUUAACUAAAUAUGACUAAACGCAUUAAUUUUAUAAAAUAAAAAAACUCUAAUUAUAACAAUCGGUACAAUAGUAAUAUUUAGAUUUUUUUUCUAGUGAAAUAAGUUAAAAUUAUUCAGAAAUAACUGUUCAGCCGUUGUCAAGAAGAAAAUGCAUGAGGCUUGGCGUCCUCGCGCUCCUGCUGUUUGCUCGCAUGCGCGUAGAAGAGUGAUUUCAAAUACAAAGAAGUAACGGCUCCUUUCCUCAAAGAAAGAAACAACUGCGCAAGGUGAGUAAAGGCUCCGAAAUAAAUACACAGGUUUAUUAUGUGUAUACUAAUUCCUACGCUGACACAUUAAAUUGUUUGUUUGUUUUUUUAUUUGAUUUUUUUGUUUUAACCAUUAAUUUAAUAGCUGCGAUGAUUAAGAGUCUAACGCACUUUGUGGGACGAAAUGGAGACUACAAACACAAGAAAAUCCAGUAUGACUUCUCUAAAAAUCUCAAAGGAUUCACAGGGCAGCACUAUCAGUUAAUAAAGAAAUGUGGCUCUGUAGUGGACACCUGUGAGGCAGUGGACAGACAGCUGCUGAAGUCUGAUGCUGGCUGACAAUAAACAGACCUCUCUGGAUGUACCUCAUCUUUUGUAGAGUAAUUCUAACAUUGCCCUUCCUGUAACAUGAUGAUCCUGCUGUCCUGGACUGUAUGUGAUGAGGUAAGUAUGAGUUUGUCCAUGUGUGUAUACAUAUGUAGUGUACACACACAACUUAAACACACAUUGUGCACUUAAUUAGCCCACAACCAUUAAUCAAUGCACUAAUAUGACAAAAAUAAUUCCUGUGGUGUUCCUCAUUUUUAAGAUAAUUAAAAAAAUACCUGUGCUAAAUGAAUAAAUGUAAAUAUUUUGUUAUUUAAUUUUAAGUAAAUCACUCUUUUUUUCAAUGAACAGCCUACACAUAAUCUCAGAACAGCUGUGGUAAUAGCAGGAGACCCAUUUGGUGAGAGCAGCACUGCAGUCUUUCCUGAUGGUGAGGAGCUUCUUGCUGAUGAACCUGCCGACAUGAGUUCACCUUACUAUGAGUGCCUAUGUUCUUUUCAAGAUUAUACAGAAAAGCAAUUAAAAGUACACUAAAGCACACUGUUUUUCUGCUGUAUCUGUUGGCCAUUCAGGAGGAUAUCAUGGACCAUUUGCAUAAGACUGAUGAUGCGUUUCAGCGGCCAUCAGCAUCGUAAAUCCUCACCAUUGUUUUAUAUUUUGAUUUUUUUUUUUAAUUAUGUGCAUUAAUAACACUAUACUUUGUAUUAUCUCACAUUUGUAUCAAAUUACAAAAAAAAAAUAGCUAAUGCAAGGGUGUUUCAAAUCCAGUGUCUUUGGGAGGAAUGAUAAAUUUGACAUUGUUCUCUCUUCUGACUGCUGUUAUCAGUCUCUGUCAGAUUUUUUCCUUUGAUUGAAAGUUGUGAAAAUGCUAUCUUUAGAGUUUA